Molecule: ribosomal RNA, 433 nt
Filed under: uncultured bacterium
Lineage: Bacteria
Description: partial 16S ribosomal RNA
Rfam family: Bacterial small subunit ribosomal RNA
Source: RNAcentral
AGCGAACGCUGGCGGCAGGCUUAACACAUGCAAGUCGAGCGGGCACUUCGGUGUCAGCGGCAGACGGGUGAGUAACACGUGGGAACGUACCCUUGGGUUCGGAAUAACGCUGGGAAACUAGCGCUAAUACCGGAUACGCCCUUUUGGGGAAAGGCUUGCUGCCGAAGGAUCGGCCCGCGUCUGAUUAGCUAGUUGGUGGGGUAAUGGCCUACCAAGGCGACGAUCAGUAGCUGGUCUGAGAGGAUGAUCAGCCACACUGGGACUGAGACACGGCCCAGACUCCUACGGGAGGCAGCAGUGGGGAAUAUUGGACAAUGGGCGCAAGCCUGAUCCAGCCAUGCCGCGUGAGUGAUGAAGGCCUUAGGGUUGUAAAGCUCUUUUGUCCGGGACGAUAAUGACGGUACCGGAAGAAUAAGCCCCGGCUAACUUCGUG